AACGAACGCUGGCGGCAUGCCUAAUACAUGCAAGUCGAACGAAGGCUUCGGCCUUAGUGGCGCACGGGUGCGUAACGCGUGGGAAUCUACCCUUGGGUUCGGAAUAACAGUUAGAAAUGACUGCUAAUACCGGAUGAUGACGUAAGUCCAAAGAUUUAUCGCCCAAGGAUGAGCCCGCGUAAGAUUAGCUAGUUGGUGAGGUAAAGGCUCACCAAGGCUACGAUCUUUAGCUGGUCUGAGAGGAUGAUCAGCCACACUGGGACUGAGACACGGCCCAGACUCCUACGGGAGGCAGCAGUAGGGAAUAUUGGACAAUGGGCGAAAGCCUGAUCCAGCAAUGCCGCGUGAGUGAUGAAGGCCUUAGGGUUGUAAAGCUCUUUUACCCGAGAUGAUAAUGACAGUAUCGGGAGAAUAAGCUCCGGCUAACUCCGUG
RNAcentral lists this ribosomal RNA (433 nucleotides) under uncultured bacterium. Its description in RNAcentral is "bacterial SSU rRNA". It matches the Rfam family "Bacterial small subunit ribosomal RNA", at positions 29 to 507 of the family's 1533-position model. The record is from RNAcentral.